AUGACCAAGUCGAUGAUGCCACUGCUUGAAGGAACCAGUAACAGAAGCGACAGCAGCGGAGGAACUGGCGAUGGUGGUGGCAGCGGAAGGAACAUGAAGCCAGUCCAACUCCCAAAGACCCUGAGAAUCACGGCGGCGAGGGCCAGCCCCAACCAGAGUGUGCGUGCGACGAUCCUGGACAGAACAAGAGUCAACAUCAAGGAUGACACGACAACCAGAAUCAGUAAGUUGACCGGCAGAAAACAGAUUCAUGGUAAGUCGAGGAACAUGAGCAACAUCAGGAACAGAAUAAGAAGGAGUAGAAAGAUGGCCUCUACUAGCAACAGAAAGUGGAGUACCAUCAGCAGUGAAGACAUGAACCGGAGAAUCCAGCGAGCGAAGAGAAGACAAAGCGGAAGAAUGAGAAGACAUAUGAAAAGAAGCUCCAGAAUCUAG
This 435-nucleotide ribosomal RNA is filed under the name Triticum aestivum (bread wheat). Its description in RNAcentral is "partial small subunit ribosomal RNA". Lineage: Eukaryota; Viridiplantae; Streptophyta; Magnoliopsida; Poales; Poaceae. The record is from RNAcentral.